UCUGACUGAGUUUCAAAUGCAACCAUUAAAGGGCUAAUGACUUCUUUUGCUACAGACCUCAGAGGUGGGAUACCAAGCAGCAGGCGUGACCUGCUUCCAAGGCUUCUGCAGGUCACAGCUCCUCCCUGCACACAAAGCUGCAGCACUCAGCUCACCCAUGCUAUUUGGGACAGAUGUUCUGUUUCUUACCUACACUCUGGAUGUCAGCGAUGAUCUGUGCUGCCAGGCUUCCUGUGUAAAAGGCAUCUGCUCCUUCAUCGGCUAUAGUCUGGUAUGUGUUGGCUAGUUUAGGCAUCUUGAUGAUAUCGCCCUCAUGCAGGAUUUUCCCAUCUCUGCAGAACACUUCACUGACAGAGAAAGGAGAUUAAGAUGUGAGAGGCAAGUUCAAAACCAUGUGUGCCCGUAUCAGCUAACACAGAUUUAGUCUAAUGUGUCUUCAUGUGGUCAUCCUGGAGAGAAGAGGAACUGCCUGAGCUAUGCCACAUGGGUCUUAAUAUCUUUCAUAGGAACAUAAAAGCGAGCAGUGUUUUCUCAGAAUUUGCUCAGUGAAGCCUGCAGGAAGCAGUGUCAGUCUUUGUCUCAAGGCAGUCCACUCUCCCUCCCUGUUCCCUGGAUUAACAACUGCCUCAAGACACCCACGAGGGUCCUUGAAGCCAAGCGGUUCAGCUCAGAGCACAGGCUAUGAAGCUGCAAGGCUCAAAGCUUUCAGUGAAUCCAGGAGAACGCAUUUGGAUUCCUAAUGGUCAGAGCACUUGGAAGUAGACAGGUCCCUGUCUAGCUCCCUCAUCAGCAAUCAUGGAUGUGAUUGAUGCUGUGGGCCUGCCAGAAGGAAGUACAGGAGUACAGGCUGGUACAUCCCAUUUACAUUACAAACCAACUUGCAGCUGGCAGGAAAAGACUAAGCAUGAUCUCAAGUAGAGCUGGACAUAGACACCAUGGGACUGCAAGAGGAAGCGCAUUUAAAACCCUUCGUGCUCAUAGUCAUUGCCAGAAGUGGAUGAUCAGAGGCAUUGCUCUGGGAAGGCUGACUGCAGAGGAAGAGAUGACCCAGAAACCCACACCCUGACAGCAGGUGGAGGGGUAGAACUGUUCCAGAUGUGUGUAGCCCUGUCGCUUACCUGUGCUGUCGUAGAUGGUAAAGAAGAGCCCUCCUCCAAUGCCCAUGCUGUGAGCGUUCAUGAGUCCAACGCAGAGCAGAGCUGCAAUAGCAGCGUCCACAGCAGAUCCGCCUUGCUGAAGGAUGUCCCUGUGCAGCAAAAGAGAAGGCAUCUUACAGCAACACGCCACAGUGUCUCAGCUAUCUGUGAGCUCUGGGCCUCUAUCACCAUAGAGAAGAGAACCUAAUGGUCUGGGUACGGCCCAGAUUGACCUUCAUUAAAGAGACAUUCGAACUAGCCUGAAAGCAGCAAGAUGUGACAAAGUACCUGGAGGAGACUGGCAUUCCAGCCACAUCCACCAUA
This 1460-nucleotide long non-coding RNA is filed under the name Gallus gallus (chicken). RNAcentral describes it as "long non-coding RNA NONGGAT002879". The record is from RNAcentral. Lineage: Eukaryota; Metazoa; Chordata; Aves; Galliformes; Phasianidae.